AUGCCUAUAAUUAACCUUUUUCUACUCAUUAUCCCCACUCUCAUCACCAUAGCAUUCCUUACACUCAUUGAAUGAAAAAUUUUAGGCUAUCUGCAACUAUGCAAAGGACCUAACAUUGUAGGUCCAUAUGGACUACAUCAAUCCUUUACAGAUGCAAUAAAACUUUAUAUUAAAGAAACUCUAUGACCAUUAGCAUCCACCAUUCCUCUAUACAUUAUCGCUCCAACCCUAGCCCUAUCUAUCGAACUCCUUAUAUAAAUUCCUUUGCCCAUACCAUACCCCUUACUUAUUCUUAAUAUAGGUCUCUUAUUCAUACAGCCACAUCAAGCCUAGCCAUCUACUCUAUCCUAUGUUGGGACAGGCACCCAAUUCAAAAUAUGCACUAAUUGGUGCACGACGGGCAAUAGCUCAAAAAAAUUCAUAUGAAGUUACCGUAGCUAUCAUUCUCCUGUCAGUCCUCUUGAUAAGUGGCAUAUUUAAUUUACCUACACUCAUCGUAACACAACAGUUAUCUGACUACUCCUACCAUCAUGACCUCUAGCCAUAAUAUGUUUCAUCUCCACACUAGCAGAGACUAACAGAGCCCCAUUUGACGUAACAGAGGGGGAAUCAGAGUUAGUUUCGGGUUUUAAUAUUGAAUAUGCCACAGGUCCAUUUGCCCUGUUCUUUAUAGCAGAAUAUAUAAAUAUCAUUAUAAUAAAUGCCCUAAUCACUAUUAUUUCUCUAGGAGCACUAUAUAAUAUUUAUAAACCAGAACUCUACACCAAAAAUUUCAUCACCAAAACCCUCCUUUUAACAACUUCUUUUUAUGAGUUCAAGUAUUGUACCCCUGAUUCAGUUAUGAUCAGCUCAUGCAUCUUCUAUGAAAAAACUUCUUACCACUCACUCUAGCACUUUGCAUAUGACAUAUUUCUAUGCCUAUCCUAAUAUCUAGUAUUCCACCUCAGACA
Molecule: long non-coding RNA, 950 nt
Filed under: Homo sapiens (human)
Lineage: Eukaryota; Metazoa; Chordata; Mammalia; Primates; Hominidae
Description: non-protein coding lnc-NEUROG3-5:1
Source: RNAcentral